ACUGGGCCCAGUUCAGAUUGAAGUCUGCAACUCGACUUCAUGAAGCCGGAAUCGCUAGUAAUGGCGUAUCAGCUACGACGCCGUGAAUACGUUCCCGGGCCUUGUACACACCGCCCGUCACAUCAUGGGAGUCGCUUGUAGCCGAAGUCGGCGCGCUAACCGCAAGGAUGCAGCCGCCUACGCUAUGAGCGGUAACUGGGAUGAAGUCGUAACAAGGUAGCCGUAGGGGAACCUGCGGCUGGAUCACCUCCUUUCUAAGG
This 260-nucleotide ribosomal RNA is filed under the name Verrucomicrobiota bacterium. RNAcentral's name for it is "Verrucomicrobia bacterium partial 16S ribosomal RNA". It matches the Rfam family "Bacterial small subunit ribosomal RNA", at positions 1281 to 1533 of the family's 1533-position model. The record is from RNAcentral. Lineage: Bacteria; Pseudomonadati; Verrucomicrobiota.